RNAcentral lists this ribosomal RNA (454 nucleotides) under uncultured bacterium. Its description in RNAcentral is "bacterial SSU rRNA". It matches the Rfam family "Bacterial small subunit ribosomal RNA", at positions 977 to 1434 of the family's 1533-position model. The record is from RNAcentral.
GGGCUUGACAUCCCACGAACCUGGAAACAGGGUCUUCCACUUUGGUGGACUGGGUGACAGGUGCUGCAUGGCUGUCGUCAACUCGUGUCGUGAGAUGUUGGGUUAAGUCCCGCAACGAGCGCAACCCUUGCCUUUAGUUGCCAUCAUUCAGUUGGGCACUCUAAAGGGACUGCCGGUGUUAAACCGGAGGAAGGUGGGGACGACGUCAAGUCCUCAUGGCCUUUAUGCCCAGGGCUACACACGUGCUACAUGGGCGGCACAAAGGGAAGCGACACCGCGAGGUGAAGCAAAUCCCAAAAAACCGUUCUCAGUUCGGAUCGGAGUCUGCAACUCGACUUCGUGAAGGUGGAAUCGCUAGUAAUCGUGGAUCAGCAUGCCACGGUGAAUACGUUCCCGGGCCUUGUACACACCGCCCGUCACACCACGAAAGUCUGCUGUACUCGAAGUCGCUGAG